CAGAGAACAUAGAGGUGCAGAACUGCAAGGGGGAUGAAUUUUAUCGUAUAAAGGGGAAUAGAGAGAGGGACCCUCUGUUUGUUGUUUAGUUCAGCCUUUGCAUACAAGACGGAUCUAACAACGUAGUCUGGGCUCCGUGCCAAAGGCUGGUAUUUCACAGCAGCGACCGCCUUACAGAUGAGCUGUGGGAAGCAGGAGGGAGAAUCUCUUAGGGUGCCACUACUAUGGAGACACAGCUGGGCUGAACAAGAUUUACUUCCUUCGACAACAAGAGAAGCAGCAAAGUGUCUGGUUCAAGCGCUGCCCAAGCAGGCAGUAACCAGAAGAGCUAGCAGCCAAUCCGGCCAUGCUGCGCUGUUCGAAACCAGCUCUACAUCUCAGCCAAUCAGUGACGUCACUGGUCUUCAGGGAUUUUCACCAUGUAGCUGGCAACACCAAGUUCCUGUUUCACUAUGUAGCUUACUGCCUAAAUGCACCUUGAAUGUUUAAACUGGAAUAGAAAAUGAAGAAUUUGAUCGUUUAAGAUUGGACUAAAGUUGAACUGCAUUAUGAAGAAAAGAACGAAUGAAGUGCAUCAUAUUUCUACUUCAGUAGCCAGGACCUUUGUGGCUACUGAUUCUUUGGCUCUGGAUUCCUUUACUGAACAUCAUGGAUCUGUUGUUACAGCAGACGUUUCCAUUCCAUAAAAAAGACUAAAAUGCCAGAGGGAGAAAUCUGAAUCUUUUCAGGAUUUUGGUGGUGCCAUUCAAAAUCUUUGACUUUAAAAAACAGAAUGAUUUGGACAAAAUUCAUUUUCUUUAUGGCGACUAUGUUCAGAUGUGUGUUUCAAAUGAUCCAGCACACAGAAUGACAAUUUGCUGAAAGUCAUUGUGUCCUAGGAUUUAGGAAGUAAGAAGUAAAUCUGCAUUAAGAAGGCAGAAGUUUUUUCAUGUCAGUUGACAGAGAUAAAAUAUUUAUUAUAGGAACAAGGGAAAAAAACUUAAAUUAUGCCCAGAAGGCAUUCUUGCUCUAGAAUGACUUUUACGUGCCAAAUGUCAGGGCCCACUGCAACUGGAUAUGUAUUGUCAUAUCUUUGCCUAAAUCACAAGAAAAAUAGAAGAAACUGUGUAGAAGUCUGUGUGAAGCAGGUUUUACCCUGUGUUAAACAUCUUUUUUUUUGCAUGCACAACUUUGAUAGUGUUAUAGGUUAGAAGAUCUUUUUUAAAAACUUGGCAAUGUGUCAUAUGUUUUUGAAAGUCUGCUUUGACAGUCUUAUGCUGCCUAUUCAUGCUAUAUCAUCCCAAGUCAUAAAGAGAGAGAGAUUUAUAAGACAAUCAACAAAGUUUUGCCAAAUGAAUAUUCUCACUACUAAACCAGUCGGAUUAAUUGAAGAAGAAUUCAACUGGAUCUCAUUGGACUUUUCCUAGUCCCUGAGACCCUAACUUGUGAGGUUUAUUAGCAACAAUCACAAGUCAGGCUCUUGGGACCUAGGCGGAGGGGAACCAGCAGCUUUGGACUUUAUUAAUUUAUCUGCAGUAUUAUUACACAAAAAUAUAUAUAUUUUAAUUUCGGGUAGGCAUGUAAAAUGAGAAUUGGAUGUUGGGGCCUAUAAGUACAUUCAACAUGUAAUAUGCAGGUGGUAGCAUAUUUUCCACAGUUUUAAAUGUUCACAUACUUGCAUAUUCUGCUGUUCUGUACUGUUAAUACUUUGUAAAGUGUUAAAUCAAUUGGUAGAGAACAAUGAAAUACCACUGUUAGAUGAUGAAAUUAUGUCAUUUAUUAAGUGACAGUGAGGCCUAGCAAAUACCUCAUUCUCUUGUUUGUAGAGUUUUGAUGAAAGUCUGUAAAACAUUUUCUCUUGUCAUUGUGUUACUAUUUUUUCAAGUAUAACGAUUAUAACUUCUCCAAUUGUAAUUAGCACUACAACAUAUUAUCACAGUACUCCUACUACUUAAAAUAAUUCUAUUUCAGGUAUAACAUAAAGCUAUGGAAAAUAUAACUAUUGGGACGUCAAACUACUUCACCCAACUUCCUCUGAAGCAUGCUUUCACUUCAUUGCCACUUAUUGUUACUCAUAAAACCCCCACUGUCCUUUACAUUAUGAUGAACCACCAGAAAAUUCAUGAUAAAAAGUUGAAUAAAGAUGCAGAUAUUUCACAAUUUGAAUUAUACUUAAAAGUGUUCAUACUAAAUGUAUUUCCUAACAUAAUACUGUGAACUUCUCAUCAUUUUUUUCACUUUCUGUGUGCUGCAUUACAUUCUUCUUCUGUUGUGAAAAAUUCAAACUUUGCAAACUGAAACAAAGACUUUGCACAUUUAAAAUAUUUCAACUAUUCCAUUUUUUAUAUGAUAUUUUAACUUCAGGUAAUGUGGGAGGAACUGUUGUAUUGUCAGCCUCACUGUCAUUACAAUACAUUUUAUUGUACCAAAAUAAUUCAGUGACUUUUUUUGGUGGGGAAAUGGCUUUUCUUUUAAGAGAACACACUGUUAGCAAGGGCAUGGUACAAUACAAGACAAUAAUAAGUGUUUGUAGAUUAAUUUUUAUCAUAUGCUUAUGUCUUCUGAUUUAACUGUAAUCUUUAACCAAGUGAUUGUUAUUACUGGAGUCAAAAUCAUUUCAUUAUAUGAAAUAAGUAGUAUUCAUCUACAUAUGCAAGUUGCUCUCAAUCCAGAUAAUAUAAAAAUACUGGUUAUGUGAAUAAACAUCACGCUUAUAAUUAAUAAA
Sphaerodactylus townsendi is the source of this 2704-nucleotide long non-coding RNA. RefSeq lists it as uncharacterized. The transcript has 5 exons. Lineage: Eukaryota; Metazoa; Chordata; Lepidosauria; Squamata; Sphaerodactylidae. The record is from RefSeq and is a predicted model, not a curated record.